UGGACAGAUUAUUGUAUUCGACUGUAUUCACGGCGUGAAACAGGUGAUUACACUAUUUUUAAACGGAAAGUUAAUCAAUUAACAUAAUAGAUUCCU
MicroRNA precursor from Nicotiana attenuata, 96 nucleotides. It matches the Rfam family "MIR6152 microRNA precursor family". NCBI's taxonomy places the organism in Eukaryota, Viridiplantae, Streptophyta, Magnoliopsida, Solanales, Solanaceae. The record is from Rfam.